Long non-coding RNA from Calypte anna (Anna's hummingbird), 759 nucleotides. RefSeq lists it as uncharacterized. Lineage: Eukaryota; Metazoa; Chordata; Aves; Apodiformes; Trochilidae. The transcript has 3 exons. The record is from RefSeq and is a predicted model, not a curated record.
CCAACCCAGCUGGGGACAGCUGCCAGUGGGGAGCCAUGCAGGGGUUUCCCCCAGCUUGCCUGGUGCUUGGAAAUCCCCAGCUUCUGCAAAAUGGACACAGCGUGGCUUCCAGGAAUGUAUUUUGGCUUGCCCCUCAGCUGGCUCUGCUGUCCCCUAGCUCUGUCCCUCUCCUUGCCCUGUCUCCCUGUCAUACUACCAGCAAAGCUCCUUGCAAACCACAGCCUGAGCCAAAGGCGCCAGAAAAAGUUUUUCCUGAGUCACCUGAGAUCCCUUCAAGCAGAAAAGCAAAGCCCCAUGCCUCUCCAGGAUAGAGAGGUGUCCAACCACCCCCACAACAAGCGACUGCUCCAGUUCAGCCCACAGGGUGUUUAUUCCACUGUCACAGCUGUAAACCCAAACACCAGGAGCUCCAGGCCUGCAAGCUCGGGGAAGAAGACAGAGGAGCCUCCCUGGGGAUUCACACCCUGGCAGCCGAGCUGAGACGCAACAGAGGAAGGGGCAGAGCCGCCUGCACGCAUCCGUGCCCCGGCUAGCGGAAGGAUCGCUCUCUCCCAAGCUCACCCCGACCAGGUCUUGCCCAAACCAGGCUUAAAACCACCCUAGGAACAUUCCUGGGGAUGCAGCCCUGAGUUUUUCCACCCCCAGCACUCACCUCAUUCCCAGCACUCCCAGCUUCCAGCCCUAAGUCCCUCCGCUGCACUUUCCGUCUCCUUACUGGAGAAAAAUAAAAUAAAAAGAAACAACGACGAAACACACACA